RNAcentral lists this ribosomal RNA (648 nucleotides) under Triticum aestivum (bread wheat). Its description in RNAcentral is "partial small subunit ribosomal RNA". The record is from RNAcentral. Lineage: Eukaryota; Viridiplantae; Streptophyta; Magnoliopsida; Poales; Poaceae.
AUGUGUACGCGGAAGCGGGAAGGCGGGAUGGGGUUUAGAGAUUUUGUGAUUUUUAAUCAAGCCCUCCUUGCAAAGCAAGUUUGGAGGAUUAUCACGGUUCCAAACUUCCUAUAUGCUAGAGUUUUAAAAGCAAGAUACUUCUCUGAGAUGGAGAUAAUGGCUGCACCUUGUCCACAGGGGUGUUCGUACACAUGGCGGAGCUUAAUGCAUGGUAGGGAAUUAUUAGCACACAGGCUGAUAUGGAGAAUUGGUGAUGGCUCCAAAGUAAAUGUGUAUCAUGAUCAAUGGAUUCCAAGGACGGGUAGUAUGGUGCCACUGGGUACUGUCUACGUACAUGGUAUAACAAAAGUGGCUAAUCUCCUGAGUCCGCAAGGAACAAACUGGAACACCAGAAAACCGCAUCAAGUAUUUUCUGCUGGGGACGCUGCUGAUGUUCGGAAGAUCAUAGUGGGAGGACCGUAUACGGAGGACUACAGGGCAUGGCAGUUCACAAAAGAUGGCAGGUUUUCCAUACAGUCGGCAUAUCACCUGGGCAUAACCUUGAGGGCUUCGAGCAAGGCACUGGCCUCCUGCUCGGACCCAAAGGCAAACCAAAGAAGCUGGCAGCAGCUUUGGGACACGGACGUUCCCAAUAAAAUGAACGGUUAA